AACGAACGCUGGCGGCGUGCCUAACACAUGCAAGUCGAACGGAAUGAGGGGGCUUGCUCCUUCAUUUAGUGGCGCACGGGUGAGUAACGCGUAGAUAAUCUGCCUGAUGAUCUGGGAUAACAUCUCGAAAGGGGUGCUAAUACCGGAUAAGCCCACGGGGACUUUGGUCUUUGCGGGAAAAGGGGGGGACCUUUUGGCCUUCUGUCAUCAGAUGAGUCUGCGUACCAUUAGCUAGUUGGUAGGGUAAAGGCCUACCAAGGCUACGAUGGUUAGCUGGUUUGAGAGAAUGAUCAGCCACACUGGAACUGAGACACGGUCCAGACUCCUACGGGAGGCAGCAGUGGGGAAUUUUGCGCAAUGGGCGAAAGCCUGACGCAGCAACGCCGCGUGAGUGAUGAAGGCUUUCGGGUCGUAAAGCUCUGUCAGGGGGAAAGAAGUGUAUUGUGGCUAAUAUCCACGAUACUUGACGGUACCCCCAAAGGAAGCACCGGCUAACUCCGUGCCAGCCGCCGCUGUAA
This 518-nucleotide ribosomal RNA is filed under the name uncultured bacterium. RNAcentral describes it as "partial 16S ribosomal RNA". It matches the Rfam family "Bacterial small subunit ribosomal RNA", at positions 29 to 523 of the family's 1533-position model. The record is from RNAcentral.